Long non-coding RNA from Haliotis rubra (blacklip abalone), 126 nucleotides. RefSeq lists it as uncharacterized. The record is from RefSeq and is a predicted model, not a curated record. Lineage: Eukaryota; Metazoa; Mollusca; Gastropoda; Lepetellida; Haliotidae. The transcript is spliced from 4 exons.
AUGAAUUUUCUUCAAAUUUUGUAGAAUUUCUAGUGCAAUCGUACUGGCGUAGUUUGAGGCUAUAAUUCGUAGCGACUACAAUAAAAUCUUAGAGGUUGGCAUCUCUGGUCUUAUGUUUAAUUUAAA